UACGAAGGGUGCAAGCGUUAAUCGGAAUUACUGGGCGUAAAGCGUGCGUAGGCGGUGAGUUAAGUCUGUCGUGAAAUCCCCGGGCUCAACCUGGGAAUGGCGAUGGAUACUGGCUCGCUAGAGUGUGAUAGAGGAUGGUGGAAUUCCCGGUGUAGCGGUGAAAUGCGUAGAGAUCGGGAGGAACAUCAGUGGCGAAGGCGGCCAUCUGGAUCAACACUGACGCUGAGGCACGAAAGCGUGGGGAGCAAACAGG
RNAcentral lists this ribosomal RNA (253 nucleotides) under uncultured bacterium. RNAcentral describes it as "partial 16S ribosomal RNA". It matches the Rfam family "Bacterial small subunit ribosomal RNA", at positions 524 to 776 of the family's 1533-position model. The record is from RNAcentral.